GAGGAAUAUUGGUCAAUGGACGAGAGUCUGAACCAGCCAAAUCGCGUGAAGGAAGACUGCCCUACGGGUUGUAAACUUCUUUUGUACAGGAAUAUAAGACAUUACGUGUAAUGUAUUGCAUGUACUGUACGAAUAAGCAUCGGCUAACUCCGUGCCAGCAGCCGCGGUAAUACGGAGGAUGCGAGCGUUAUCCGGAUUUAUUGGGUUUAAAGGGUGCGCAGGCGGGAUUUUAAGUCAGCGGUGAAAUUUUCAGGCUCAACCUGAACACUGCCGUUGAAACUGGGAUUCUUGAGUAUGGAUGAAGUAGGCGGAAUUCGUUGUGUAGCGGUGACAUGCUUAGAUAUAACGAGGAACUCCGAUUGCGUAGGCAGCUUACUAAGCCAUAACUGACGCUCAAGCACGAAAGCGUGGGGAUCAAACA
RNAcentral lists this ribosomal RNA (421 nucleotides) under uncultured bacterium. RNAcentral describes it as "bacterial SSU rRNA". It matches the Rfam family "Bacterial small subunit ribosomal RNA", at positions 356 to 774 of the family's 1533-position model. The record is from RNAcentral.